GGGGUUAUAGCUCAGCUGGGAGAGCGCCUGUUUUGCACGCAGGAGGUCAGCGGUUCGAUCCCGCUUAGCUCCACCA
RNAcentral lists this transfer RNA (76 nucleotides) under Clostridium sp. RNAcentral describes it as "tRNA-Ala". It matches the Rfam family "tRNA". Rfam says of the family: Transfer RNA (tRNA) molecules are approximately 80 nucleotides in length. Their secondary structure includes four short double-helical elements and three loops (D, anti-codon, and T loops). RNAcentral also lists the same sequence under 4 other names. Lineage: Bacteria; Bacillati; Bacillota; Clostridia; Eubacteriales; Clostridiaceae. The record is from RNAcentral.